CGCGGCCCGGGAAAGUCGCCUGAGUGCGGCU
RNAcentral lists this unclassified non-coding RNA (31 nucleotides) under Klebsiella pneumoniae subsp. pneumoniae BJ1-GA. RNAcentral describes it as "CPEB3_ribozyme". Lineage: Bacteria; Pseudomonadati; Pseudomonadota; Gammaproteobacteria; Enterobacterales; Enterobacteriaceae. The record is from RNAcentral.